Molecule: long non-coding RNA, 1551 nt
Organism: Oncorhynchus keta (chum salmon)
Lineage: Eukaryota; Metazoa; Chordata; Actinopteri; Salmoniformes; Salmonidae
Exons: 5
Source: RefSeq, a predicted model, not a curated record
ACAGGCCUUAUUAAGGGGUUAAACAGGCCUUAUUAAGGGGUUAAACAGGCCUUAUUAAGGGGUUAUAGAGGACUUAAGUUAUAGAUCUUACAGUGCCUUCAUAAAGUAUUCACAACCCUUGAUUUGUGUCAUACUUUGUUGUGUUACUGCCUGAAAUUAAAAUGGAUUUAAUUUUGAGAUUUUGUGUCACUGGUCUACACACACACACACACACACACACAAUACCCCAUAAUGUCAAAGUGGAAUUAUGUUUAUAGACAUUUUUACAAAUGAAUAAAUAAUAAAAAGCUAACAAAAAGAGAGAGAGAGAGACGUGAAUAGCGGACAACCUGAGCUCAUCAGACAUGUCUCACACCACUGACUGAGAACAAUGAUGAACAACAGAGCAGCUCAGAGAAUUGGGCUGCUGACAGACUGUACUGAGAUACAAGGCCUAGGUAGGCCUGGCUACAACAGGCUGCUGACAGACUGUACUGAGAUACAAGGCCUAGGUAGGCCUGGCUACAACAGGCUGCUGACAGACUGUACUGAGAUACAAGGCCUAGGUAGGCCUGGCUACAACAGGCUGCUGACAGACUGUACUGAGAUACAAGGCCUAGGUAGGCCUGGCUACAACAGGCUGCUGACAGACUGUACUGAGAUACAAGGCCUAGGUAGGCCUGGCUACAACAGGCUGCUGACAGACUGUACUGAGAUACAAGGCCUAGGUAGGCCUGGCUACAACAGGCUGCUGACAGACUGUACUGAGAUACAAGGCCUAGGUAGGCCUGGCUACAACAGACUGCUGACAGACUGUACUGAGAUACAAGGCCUAGGUAGGCCUGGCUACAACAGGCUGCUGACAGACUGUACUGAGAUACAAGGCCUAGGUAGGCCUGGCUACAACAGGCUGCUGACAGACUGUACUGAGAUACAAGGCCUAGGUAGGCCUGGCUACAACAGGCUGCUGACAGACUGUACUGAGAUACAAGGCCUAGGUAGGCCUGGCUACAACAGGCUGCUGACAGACUGUACUGAGAUACAAGGCCUAGGUAGGCCUGGCUACAACAGACUGCUGACAGACUGUACUGAGAUACAAGGCCUAGGUAGGCCUGGCUACAACAGGCUGCUGACAGACAGAUUGUACUGAGAUACUAGGAAGAGACAAGCCAGGCUACAGCAGACUGCUGACAGGCAGAUUGUACUGAGAUACUAGGAAGAGACAGGCCAGGCUACAACAGACUGCAUUAGCUAUAACAUCACAACCUGGCAUCUUUCCUCACAAGCCCCCCUCUGCCUGUCAGAUGUUUAUGCCAUCUUGACAGCCUCAGGAGGAAACUAUUGCCAUUAAAAGGUUGGUUAGAAAAUGUAUAGCAGCAUAAUUUUAUUCACAAGCUAAGAUAGCUGCUAGCAUUUAGCCACCCAGGAGCACAAUGUCAUUUACUAGCUAGAUGUUAACUGCUAGCAUUUAGCCACCCAGGAGCACAAUGUCAUUUACUAGCUAGAUGUUAACUGCUAGCAUUUAGCCACCCAGGAGCACAAUGUCAUUUACUAGCUAGAUGUUAACUGCUA